Molecule: ribosomal RNA, 626 nt
Filed under: uncultured bacterium
Lineage: Bacteria
Description: bacterial SSU rRNA
Rfam family: Bacterial small subunit ribosomal RNA
Source: RNAcentral
AAUUCGAUUGAGUUUGAUCAUGGCUCAGGACGAACGCUGGCGGCGUGCUUAACACAUGCAAGUCGAGCGGUAAGGCUCCUUCGGGAGUACACGAGCGGCGAACGGGUGAGUAACACGUGAGCAAUCUGCCCUUCACUCUGGGAUAACCCUCGGAAACGAGAGCUAAUACCGGAUACGACCACUUCAGACAUCUGAUGGUGGUGGAAAGUUCUGGCGGUGAAGGAUGAGCUCGCGGCCUAUCAGCUUGUUGGUGAGGUAAUGGCUCACCAAGGCUUCGACGGGUAGCCGGCCUGAGAGGGUGACCGGCCACGCUGGGACUGAGACACGGCCCAGACUCCUACGGGAGGCAGCAGUGGGGAAUAUUGGACAAUGGGCGAAAGCCUGAUCCAGCAACGCCGCGUGAGGGAUGACGGCCUUCGGGUUGUAAACCUCUUUCAGCAGGGACGAAGCGCAAGUGACGGUACCUGCAGAAGAAGCACCGGCCAACUACGUGCCAGCAGCCGCGGUAAUACGUAGGGUGCGAGCGUUGUCCGGAAUUAUUGGGCGUAAAGGGCUCGUAGGCGGUCUGUUGCGUCGGGAGUGAAAACUCAGGGCUUAACCCUGAGCCUGCUUCCGAUACGGGCAGA